CUUUUUAAAAAAAAAAACAGAGAGCCUUUGCUCUCUCUCCCUCUCCCUCCUUCAUGGCCGACCAUGGGUUCAUCGGGGGGUCCUCCACGCCUACGCCGUGAACGGCGACCAAUGUUACGCGAAACGGGUCCCUUCGACGCUCUUUUUGAAUAGGUCCGAAGAUGGAGCCCUCAUGACCACAGCAACGCAAGGAAAAAGGGAAGGACCCUUCGGUUCUUCGUUCUCCAUCGCGGCCAAUGGUCGAACCCCCAGGGGUUCGGCGACCUUCAGGACGACGAGAGGAUGCCGUAGCGCACCCAAACAGUGAAUCGAAGGUGCGUUUUUUAUUACUAUUUCGUUCUUUUAUUAUUAUUACUUAAAUAUUUAUAUGCAAAAAAAUGAAGAAAAAUAAAAUAAAGAGGAACAAAGUAAGAAUCUUAAAUAAAAAUAAAGAUGAAAAUCACCUUCUGAAGUUUUCUUUUUUGUUAUUUCUAUUUUCUGAUGUUCGUAAAAAAACUACAAAGAUGAAAUUGUGGCUUUUAAAGCCGUUUACAAAACGAUUAAAUCAUAUUUUUUUGUCGUUUUCUCCAUUAGUUGCCUCUGUCUUGUGUGUGAACCUUCGUUUUGCAAGUGUCAGAGGCGUGGGUGAGUGGUGGUUGGCUCACGAGGAGGCGAGGCAGCGCGCGUGGUGGCUCAGCAUGCGUGGGGUGAGCGGCGGCUGAAGAGGGGGGGCUAGGGUUUGUUUGCUUGCUGAAAAUUUUGAUAGCUAAUGGGCUAGGGUUUAGUUUAGGCCUUGUAAUUUGGGUAGGAUAGGUUUGGGUAUGUUAUUGGGUUUUUGGUAUUUUUUAAUUUGGGCCAUUUUAAUGUGUAAAUGGACUGUUAAUAAAUAUUUAGAUUUUUACUUAUUUUUGGUUUAUUUUGUUUUAUAGACAUGGGUCAAAAUUGGCUAUUAUAAUUAUAAUUUUGGUUUCAUUUUACUCAAAAAAUUACCACCCAAAAAAUGUGGUUACAUAAAUAUACGGUCAAAAUACGUUACCAUUUC
This 1021-nucleotide long non-coding RNA is filed under the name Gossypium barbadense (sea-island cotton). RNAcentral describes it as "long non-coding RNA (GBAR_LNC007727)". Lineage: Eukaryota; Viridiplantae; Streptophyta; Magnoliopsida; Malvales; Malvaceae. The record is from RNAcentral.